UGAGGGAUAUUGGGCAAUGGGGGAAACCCUGACCCAGCGACGCCGCGUGAGGGAAGACGGUCUUCGGAUUGUAAACCUCUGUCUUUGGGGACGAAGAAGGACGGUACCCAAGGAGGAAGCUCCGGCUAACUACGUGCCAGCAGCCGCGGUAAUACGUAGGGAGCGAGCGUUGUCCGGAAUUACUGGGUGUAAAGGGAGCGUAGGCGGGAUUGCAAGUUGGAUGUGAAAACUGCGGGCUCAACCCGGAGAGUGCAUUCAAAACUGCGAUUCUUGAGUGAAGUAGAGGCAAGCGGAAUUCCUAGUGUAGCGGUGAAAUGCGUAGAUAUUAGGAGGAACACCAGUGGCGAAGGCGGCUUGCUGGGCUUUAACUGACGCUGAGGCACGAAAGCAUGGGUAGCAAACAGGAUUAGAUACCC
Molecule: ribosomal RNA, 416 nt
Filed under: uncultured bacterium
Lineage: Bacteria
Description: bacterial SSU rRNA
Rfam family: Bacterial small subunit ribosomal RNA
Source: RNAcentral